CGCGCCCUACGGGGGGCAGCAGUCGAGAAUCAUUCACAAUGGGGGAAACCCUGAUGCAGCGACGCCGCGUGAGUGAAGAAGUAUUUCGGUAUGUAAAGCUCUAUCAGCAGGGAAGAAGAAAGACGGUACCUGACUAAGAAGCCCCGGCUAACUACGUGCCAGCAGCCGCGGUAAUACGUAGGGGGCAAGCGUUAUCCGGAUUUACUGGGUGUAAAGGGAGCGUAGACGGCUGUGCAAGUCUGAAGUGAAAGCCCAGGGCUCAACCCUGGGACUGCUUUGGAAACUGUGGAGCUAGAGUGCUGGAG
This 305-nucleotide ribosomal RNA is filed under the name uncultured bacterium. RNAcentral's name for it is "bacterial SSU rRNA". It matches the Rfam family "Bacterial small subunit ribosomal RNA", at positions 333 to 654 of the family's 1533-position model. The record is from RNAcentral.